This 305-nucleotide ribosomal RNA is filed under the name uncultured bacterium. RNAcentral's name for it is "bacterial SSU rRNA". It matches the Rfam family "Bacterial small subunit ribosomal RNA", at positions 338 to 659 of the family's 1533-position model. The record is from RNAcentral.
CCUACGGGAGGUAGCAGUGGGGAAUAUUGCACAAUGGGGGAAACCCUGAUGCAGCGACGCCGCGUGAAGGAAGAAGUAUCUCGGUAUGUAAACUUCUAUCAGCAGGGAAGAAAACAGACGGUACCUGACUAAGAAGCCCCGGCUAACUACGUGCCAGCAGCCGCGGUAAUACGUAGGGGGCAAGCGUUAUCCGGAUUUACUGGGUGUAAAGGGAGCGUAGACGGAGGAGCAAGUCUGAUGUGAAAAUCCGGGGCCCAACCCCGGAACUGCAUUGGAAACUGUUUAUCUAGAGUGUCGGAGAGGCA